CUGAUCCAGCCAUGCCGCGUGUGUGAAGAAGGCCUUUUGGUUGUAAAGCACUUUAAGCGAGGAGGAGGCUCCUUUAGUUAAUACCUAAAGAGAGUGGACGUUACUCGCAGAAUAAGCACCGGCUAACUCUGUGCCAGCAGCCGCGGUAAUACAGAGGGUGCGAGCGUUAAUCGGAUUUACUGGGCGUAAAGCGUGCGUAGGCGGCUUUUUAAGUCGGAUGUGAAAUCCCUGAGCUUAACUUAGGAAUUGCAUUCGAUACUGGGGAGCUAGAGUAUGGGAGAGGAUGGUAGAAUUCCAGGUGUAGCGGUGAAAUGCGUAGAGAUCUGGAGGAAUACCGAUGGCGAAGGCAGCCAUCUGGCCUAAUACUGACGCUGAGGUACGAAAGCAUGGGGAGCAAACAGGAUUAGAUACCCUGGUAGUCCAUGCCGUAAACGAUGUCUACUAGCCGUUGGGGCCUUUGAGGCUUUAGUGGCGCAGCUAACGCGAUAAGUAGACCGCCUGGGGAGUACGGUCGCAAGACUAAAACUCAAAUGAAUUGACGGGGGCCCGCACAAGCGGUGGAGCAUGUGGUUUAAUUCGAUGCAACGCGAAGAACCUUACCUGGCCUUGACAUACUAAGAACUUUCCAGAGAUGGAUUGGUGCCUUCGGGAACUUAGAUACAGGUGCUGCAUGGCUGUCGUCAGCUCGUGUCGUGAGAUGUUGGGUUAAGUCCCGCAACGAGCGCAACCCUUUUCCUUAUUUGCCAGCGGGUAAUGCCGGGAACUUUAAGGAUACUGCCAGUGACAAACUGGAGGAAGG
This 799-nucleotide ribosomal RNA is filed under the name uncultured marine bacterium. RNAcentral's name for it is "bacterial SSU rRNA". It matches the Rfam family "Bacterial small subunit ribosomal RNA", at positions 383 to 1173 of the family's 1533-position model. The record is from RNAcentral.